GGGCUCCUAGCUCAGCCGGUUAGAGCGCUUCAGUGACAUUGAAGAGGUCACAGGUUCGAGUCCUGUGGAGCCCACCA
This 77-nucleotide transfer RNA is filed under the name candidate division WWE3 bacterium. RNAcentral's name for it is "tRNA-Val". It matches the Rfam family "tRNA". From Rfam's summary of the family: Transfer RNA (tRNA) molecules are approximately 80 nucleotides in length. Their secondary structure includes four short double-helical elements and three loops (D, anti-codon, and T loops). The record is from RNAcentral. Lineage: Bacteria; candidate division WWE3.